AGUUAGUGCUGAUUUUCAUUUGCAUACAUUUUCAUAUAUUUUGGUGAAAAUAAUAGACGAGAGAGAACCGGGCUUAGAGGAGUCAGUGUAAAGAGAAGGCUAAGGAUAACUCGGCUCUGGAGAGUAGAGAAUAUGCCUUCUCUUCUGCCCCUCCAGGAACCUUACUUUUUUUUUUUUAAACAAAAAACAAAAACAAAAAACAAAAACCAAAAACCAAAAACCAACCACCACCUUUUAUUUAAAAGUCUAACCUUGGGAAUUUGCUGGGGAGAAGGAACUCAGUGAAUAUUGCCCUGGGUCCUGGUAAUUCCACCUACUGAAGACAACUGCCCCUUCUGCUCAUAUUUCCUGAGUCAACAUGGCCGUUCCUAACUUUGAAGAGACUUUAGACAUUCUUUGUUACAAUGAACCUAGAAGAAAGAAGAGAAAUAUUACAGCGACUGUGCCCGGGACUGUAAGGCGGAUAAGACCCAGCAGAAUAACUGCCAUGGAAGGAUGCUCCUCCUGCCAAUUGGCACUUAUCAAUGACAUCGAGGGAGAGGGACAGAGUGCCUAGGUAUGAGCCUUCAUCAAGUGGUAUGAAGGCCCUACCCCAACAGAAAGUGCUGAUGUGAUGAAAUGGUGCUUUGGACAAGACUUUUCCUCCAAGUUGGUCCUAUCCAGGGGUUGGCAAACAGGGUCCCUGGACAUCAUCCAUGUGGCAUACUCUUAUGAAUAAAGUUCUAUAGGACACAGAC
Molecule: long non-coding RNA, 737 nt
Filed under: Mus musculus (house mouse)
Lineage: Eukaryota; Metazoa; Chordata; Mammalia; Rodentia; Muridae
Description: POU domain, class 3, transcription factor 3 adjacent noncoding transcript 1
Source: RNAcentral